UACAGAGACUGCAAGCGUUAUUCGGAUUCACUGGGCGUAAAGGGUGCGCAGGCGGUCGGGUGUGUCAGAUGUGAAAUCCCGAGGCUCAACCUCGGAACUGCGUCUGAAACUACUCGACUAGAGUACUGGAGAGGGUCGCGGAAUUCCCGGUGUAGGAGGUAGAAAUUCGUAGAUAUCGGGAGGAACACCAGUGGCGAAGGCGGCGACCUGGGCCAAUAUUGGACGCUGAGG
RNAcentral lists this ribosomal RNA (231 nucleotides) under uncultured bacterium. RNAcentral's name for it is "partial 16S ribosomal RNA". It matches the Rfam family "Bacterial small subunit ribosomal RNA", at positions 524 to 751 of the family's 1533-position model. The record is from RNAcentral.